GAUGAAGAACGUAGCGAAAUGCGAUAAGUAAUGUGAAUUGCAGAAUUCAGUGAAUCAUCGAAUCUUUGAACGCACAUGGCGCCCGCCAGUAUUCUGGCGAGCAUGCCUGUUCGAGCGUCAUUUCAACCAUCAAGCCCCAGGCUUGUGUUGGAGCCCUGCGGCUGCCGCAGCCUCCCAAAACCAGUGGCGGGCUCGCUAUCACACCGAGUGCAGUAGUUUACUCUUCGCUCAGGGCGUGUGGCGGGUGCUAGCCGUGAAACCCCCAACUUCUCAAGGUUGACCUCGGAUCAGGUAGGAAUACCCGCUGAACUUAAGCAUAUCAAUAAGCGGAGGA
This 334-nucleotide unclassified non-coding RNA is filed under the name soil metagenome. RNAcentral describes it as "partial contains 5.8S ribosomal RNA, internal transcribed spacer 2, and large subunit ribosomal RNA". The stretch from base 1 to 120 matches the Rfam family "5.8S ribosomal RNA", at positions 35 to 154 of the family's 154-position model. The record is from RNAcentral.